AUAAUAUAAGAAACCGUCUCUUAAUUUUUAACUAAAAAAACUAAAAACCGGUUCUUAAAAUAAGAUAUUUAAGAGCCGGUUUUUAGUUUUUUUAGUUAAAUGUUAAGUGACAUUUUUUUAUAUUCU
This 126-nucleotide microRNA precursor is filed under the name Brassica napus (rape). Its description in RNAcentral is "MIR9563 microRNA precursor family". It matches the Rfam family "MIR9563 microRNA precursor family". The record is from Rfam by way of RNAcentral. Lineage: Eukaryota; Viridiplantae; Streptophyta; Magnoliopsida; Brassicales; Brassicaceae.